This 404-nucleotide ribosomal RNA is filed under the name uncultured bacterium. RNAcentral describes it as "bacterial SSU rRNA". It matches the Rfam family "Bacterial small subunit ribosomal RNA", at positions 28 to 433 of the family's 1533-position model. The record is from RNAcentral.
GACGAACGCCGGCGGCGUGCUUAACACAUGCAAGUCGAGCGGUAAGGCCCUUUCGGGGGUACACGAGCGGCGAACGGGUGAGUAACACGUGGGUGACCUGCCCUCAGCUCUGGGAUAAGCCUGGGAAACUGGGUCUAAUACCGGAUAUGACCCCAUGACGCAUGUCGUGGGGUGGAAAGCCUUGUGCGGCUGAGGAUGGGCCCGCGGCCUAUCAGCUUGUUGGUGGGGUGAUGGCCACCAAGGCGACGACGGGUAGCCGGCCUGAGAGGGCGACCGGCCACACUGGGACUGAGACACGGCCCAGGACUCCUACGGGAGGCAGCAGUGGGGAAUCUUGCGCAAUGGGCGAAAGCCUGACGCAGCGACGCCGCGUGAGGGAUGACGGCCUCGGUGUAACGUACUUC